RNAcentral lists this ribosomal RNA (497 nucleotides) under uncultured bacterium. Its description in RNAcentral is "partial 16S ribosomal RNA". It matches the Rfam family "Bacterial small subunit ribosomal RNA", at positions 28 to 507 of the family's 1533-position model. The record is from RNAcentral.
GAUGAACGCUGGCGGCGUGCCUAAUACAUGCAAGUCGAGCGAACGGACGAGAAGCUUGCUUCUCUGAUGUUAGCGGCGGACGGGUGAGUAACACGUGGAUAACCUACCUAUAAGACUGGGAUAACUUCGGGAAACCGGAGCUAAUACCGGAUAAUAUUUUGAACCGCAUGGUUCAAAAGUGAAAGACGGUCUUGCUGUCACUUAUAGAUGGAUCCGCGCUGCAUUAGCUAGUUGGUAAGGUAACGGCUUACCAAGGCAACGAUGCAUAGCCGACCUGAGAGGGUGAUCGGCCACACUGGAACUGAGACACGGUCCAGACUCCUACGGGAGGCAGCAGUAGGGAAUCUUCCGCAAAGGGCGAAAGCCUGACGGAGCAACGCCGCGUGAGUGAUGAAGGUCUUCGGAUCGUAAAACUCUGUUAUUAGGGAAGAACAUAUGUGUAAGUAACUGUGCACAUCUUGGCGGUACCUAAUCAGAAAGCCACGGCUAACUACGUG